RNAcentral lists this long non-coding RNA (16168 nucleotides) under Solanum tuberosum (potato). Its description in RNAcentral is "long non-coding RNA (STUB_LNC003228)". Lineage: Eukaryota; Viridiplantae; Streptophyta; Magnoliopsida; Solanales; Solanaceae. The record is from RNAcentral.
GCAUAUCAUAUUGUCACAUUUGUAUGAGGAAAUUUUUUAAUUGAAAAAUUUGUCUCACUCUAUUAUAACUUUUUUCUCUUCUCACUACUCCACCUUCACCUUCUUCCAUUUGCCCCUCGCGCUAACAUAAAAUACUUUUUUAUUUUUUAAAUGUAAUUUACAUAUAUUUCAUUGAGUAAAUUACAAUAAUUUAAUGACAAAAUCAAGUCACAGUGAAAACUAGUUAAUGUCCUUGAAAUGUAUGACAAAAUCAAGGCACAUAGUCAAAAGUAGUACUACUAUGCUUAAAUUAAUAUUUUGUUCUUUUUUCUCUCUAACAUCACUUAUCCAAUCCCUUUCUCUUAUGUAUUUUGUUUCUCCUUUUUUUCAUAAACUUGAUUUUCAUUUGUUAAAAAUCAGAUAGAGAUAAAUACAUUAAUACUAAUUCAAAUAACUAAUAAACAUGUUUAAAAAAGAAUUAAUCAAAAAGUAUGUUCUUGACCUCGUAUAAAUUUGACUGUAUCAUUUGUAGAGUAAAAUAAUGGAGUGAGACCCACUCCAUUAUGCAAUGAAAUUAUGUGUUAAUAAAUUAAAAUUAUUGGAUGUUAGCUGGAGGUGUAAAUGGGAGAAGGUGAGGGUUGAAGAGUAACAAGAUAAAAUGACAAGUUGUAACUGAGUAAGAGCCUGUUUGGCAUUAUUGCUAAAAGCGACUUAUUUUUAGAAGCGUUUUUUAAAAAUAGCUUUUCAGAAAAAUGUUUUUCAAAAAAAGCAAUCUGUGUUUGAAAAAUUCAUUUAAAAGUGUUUUUGAUAAACAAUUUGUGUUUGAAGAGUAAGAAGAUAAAAUGAAGUAACGGAGUAAGACCCACAAUAUAUAUUUUCUCAAUUAAAGAAAUCGCUCACAGCUGUAACUUUUUUUUUUUUUGAGAAUUUACAGCACUAGACAAAGUGUCUAAUAACUUUAAGAAAGGGGUUAGGCCUUUACCACCAUAAUAUUUUUUUCCUCUAGUUGUGUAUGUCGGAAUUAACAAGCAUUUCACUUACUAGAAAAUUUAGCACAAUCUUCAAUCGUUAGUCACAAAGUAACGUCGACAUAUUCAAGUUAUAUUAUUAUAAUUAAAGUAAUGUUAAUUGUUUCUUGUUCAAAUUCUAACAUGUGAAAUAAAUAGGUUGAUGCCUGUUAUAGUUGUCAUCCUCUGUUUGAAGGACUAGAAUAUUAAUUCAAAAUGACUUAAUUUCUGUAAGAUAAUCUUAAGUAUGACCUUUGUUGUAGAUAGUGCUUGGAAGUUGCCUUUGAUUUUCCCCUCUAUGUAACUUGUAUUAGAGAUUCUAUUUCAAGUAUGACAGCCGUACUUAUCACAAAAAUAAGUGUUUUUUUAUUUUAUACUAAAUCCCCAAAAAAUUAGUGUGCUUGUACUGCGACACUAAGUGUAGAAUAUAGCUAGAAUGAUGAAUGAAGAUAAUGGAUCAGACAUUGAAGCUCAGGGGAGUUCGCCGCUGCUAAUGAAUGGUAAUUCUACGUUGAUCAUGAGGAGGUUGGCGCUCUUUCUCCAAUCUACUUACAAGUUCAUUGAAGCUGGAGCAAGAAUACCAUCUCUUUCUCGAGUCUCAUCCUCCACCACAACCUUUUAUACUCCUCUUCCCAGCUUUAAUCUUAAACAUGGAGUAAGUAUAUAAACAAAUGUCUUUAUGGCUAAUAUAUAUACACACAUAGUUAUUAAUUAUAUAUGCUCUCUGUCUAAUUAGGAUGCGGAAUGUGGUGACGAUGAAAUCCAGGUUGUUGAAAUUGUGGCUGAUGAUAAUACUGUACAAUCAAACAAUGAUCACAUCGACAUUGAUCAAAGUACUCAUCAGCAAUGCCUACAAAUUAGUGAAGAGAUUGUGAAGGAGAAGAAGUUGGAUUGGAGUGAUAUUCAUGAUGUUGACAAGGGAAUUCAUGUUGGAGACAAUUCUGGUCGUCACAUGCUGAUCUUCACAGGGUACAUCAUCCGACAAUUGGCAUGCAAGGAACCGACUAUUUUUCUCCUUGCAAUUGCUGCAAUAUUGUCGUUUGCCUUUGGAAUCAAAGAAGAAGGUGUGCAUAAUGGUUGGUUUGAAGGAGCACUUCUGGUUGUGAUUAUACUUGUGAUUGUUUCGUUUAAGUUUGUACGAAAUUGGUACAAAAGACACCUUUGGAAGAAGCAAAAAGAUAACAAAGAAACGAAGAAUUACCCCCUGUUCAUUUCUGAAACGGACCCCAGCUUUUGUGCCUGUUUUGACAAGUUGAACAAUUAUAUACAUAUUAGUGGGUUGUUGAUUGGCAUUUUGAUCACUGUGGUGCUGUUCAUUCGCUUUAAAUUGGGCCAUAAGGAUGACGAAAAUGGAUAUAGAUUAGAAACCAAGGAAGAACCAGCUGAAAUUGCACAGAAUAAUGAAUGCCGUGAAAAAGGUUUUAACAGAAUCAAAGGGAACAGUAAGAGUUCUGAUAACUUUACUUGGUGUCACACUGGUAGGGAUGACUGAAGGGGUACCAUUUCUUAUUUCAAUUACAAUGGCAUAUUGGUAUCCGAAUUUUGAUGUUAAAAUGGAAUCAGUCAGCACCCUAUGUAUAGAAAAUGUUGGCUGGUUGAAAGAGCAAAAACUGGAAGUUAGUCAGUUUUUUCUUGGCAAAAAAAAUGUUACCAAGAUACCGCCAGAUGUCUGCAGUGUUCUCUCAGAUGGAAUUUGUGUGUCCACUCUGACUUCUCAAACAACCGGCCAAAGAAUGGAAGAACCAAUACUCUGUUGGGCAGAGAAGAACAUGGGUAUGCAGAGAGACACUUUAGAUCAGCAGUUCAUAAUAGUGAAGGACAAUGAUAGUGAGAUGAAUCCUUUUGAAGGACCUUGUGGAGUUGUCAUAGAGAAAAAUGGAGAUAACGGGAAGGAGUACUAUUCACACUUCAAAGGACGGGCUGAUUCAAUAUUGUCAAUGUGUUCAAGUUACUAUGACAUGAAGGGAGAAGUGCAGGAUUUGGAUGACGAAACAAAGAGUGAAUUUGCUCAAGCUAACAACAACAAUGUGAACGUAGUUGCAUUUGCCUGCAAACGUACACAGGUUGUUGAACUUGAUGAAAAUGGCCUAACAUUCAUUGGUAUGUUUGUCUUAGAAGAUAAUUUCAAUCUAGACAACAUGAGGCAAGGAAUUGAGAUUCUGAAAGAAGGUGGAGUGAAGAUGAUAUUUGCCUCGGAAGAAGAUGUUGAAGUGCUUCGUGCCAUUGGUGAUGAAACAGGAUUGCUCAACUCACAUGAUGCUCUAGUAGUUAGGGGUGCAGAUGCUACGAAGGAAAAUGUUGAGAAAAUUUGCAUUAUGGGAAAUUCCUCUCCCACACACAAGCUUCUUUUAAUAGAGGAGUUGAAGAAAAGAGAAGUGGUGGCUGUGGUAGGAGAACAAGCAUCUGAAAGUAAUGUGGUUCUUGAAGCAGCUCAUUUUGGCCUGCCUGUGGUGACUAACUGGCCUGAAACUAUAAAUUAUGUGAUUAACAGCAUCAGGGGAGGAAGAAUUGUUUGUGAGAAUCUGAGGCAAUUCAUCCAAGUUGAGGUAAUCCUGGCAAUCAGUAGCUUAUCAAUAAACUUCAUACUGGUUAUAUUAGACGGAGAUGCCCCGUUAACAUUCAUUCAGUUGGUAUGGGUUAACCUUCUUGUUACAUUUAUUGGAGGGCCAGCUUUGCUAAUUACUCAACAGGCCACAAGAGAACUAAGGGAUAAGCUUUCUAUCAGACCAAGAAAACUGCCAAUUACCAAGGGCAUGUUGAGAAACAUACUUCUUCAAGUUUCUUAUCAGACUGGUAUUUUUGUAUUCCUUCAACACAGAGGAAGUGCAAUACUGGGCAUCACUCCAAAAGUUAACAGAUCUAUAGUCUUUAACGGGUUCGCUCUGUGCCAGCUUUUUAACAUAUUCAGUGCAAGGGGAUUUGGAGCAGAGGAAUUAUUUCAAAGGUCUCGGUCAAAAUUACUUGUUUUGGGCAUUGUCUGGGCUCUAUCUUGUGUUGCAGUUUGGAUUCAUUGAAUUAGAGGCUUUCUUGUUUAGCAACACGGCACGACUGAAUUGGAAGCAAUGGGCUGAAUCCAUUUUAAUUGGAGCUGUCACAUGGUUGCUUGAUGUGAUAGUAAAAUGGGCAUCACAAUACAUAAAGAUGGUCAAAUAUUGUGACCCUGGAGUUCUUCACCUAGGUAGAAACUGGUUACAGGAUUGGUUUGCCAGAGUCAAUUGCUGGGACAGUGGACAAAGUAGCACACCAAAUCCAACUCUUGCUUCUUUGGAUUCUCCAAGAUCCUCUAGUGGAAAGGUACUAUACAAAUUUAUCCAUACUGCCUAAUUACAGAAAAUUCAAAGAGUCUUUUCCUUUUAUUCCUAAAACAAUUUGGAUUCAAGUUGUAGUUGUUCUUUUGCAGGGCUGGAUAACAAAUAUAACACGUCGUGUUAAACCAACCAAGGAUAGAACUAAUACUUUGAUGGAUUAAUCAUAUGUUGCAGUAGCUUUAAUUUUUAGUAUAAAUUUUUCACUGUUUUAUUUAUAGGGAUUAGAUACACCUGCAACAACAGUAAAGUUGUCUCCAUGUGACCUAUAGGUUACGGGUUCGAACCAUACUGGAAUCAGCGGACCUAGUCAAUGCAGGAUGAUUAAGGCACUAGGCUACCCUUUUUAGUCUGUAUGGGCUAGUUAAUUUAUGUUAAUUCAUUUCGUCAAGUUUUUGGUUUCUCGUAUGCAUUGGAUGGAGAUAAAAAAAAAAGGUUUGUUCUUGUUCUCUCGUUCUUCUUCUUUUCACUUUUAACUAAAUUCAAGAAUGCAAACUUACUAUAUAGUACUAAUAUAUACAAAAAGCAAGAUUUUUAUGAAUUUCAAACACAUGGAAAUUUGCUCAAAAUCAUAAAGGAAGCUAGUCAGUACACAUGAUUCUACCAAUUGGCUCGUGCAAGAAGAUAAAUAAUUAAAUAUCAUAUAAUAUGCAAAAAUAUAACUUAAUUACCUCGAUGCAUAUUUUCUUCAACUUGCUGUAAUGUAUUAGACAGAGCUCUUGUUGAGGAGAAACUGACAAUCCAGCAAUGCCUCUUUCUUUGUUGUAUUUUCAUCCGCUAAACUUAGUAGAAAAUGCACGAUGACUCGCAAAAAUAUUUUACAGAAAUAAUUAGUACAAAUAAUUAACAUCUAGAAGGUUGGAACAACAAAAAUGUACUUGGACAUUAAAAAAUAAUAAUUCUAAAAUGCAAUGAAACAAUUAACAUCUAGGUUUGAAGGUAGAAUUGUUCAAACUUCACCCAUAUAUCCCCAAUUUUUAACUCCAAUCACACGUAUGAAUAUGUGCGCGUGUUUUUGUUGUUAGUUGUAUUUACUAAUUACUAUGUAGGGAAAAAUGUUUGAAAUAUAUUCAAACUUUGACCGAAAUUGCUGUAAUAAUAUCGAACUUUGGAAAGGAUCGUUUAUCCCUGCACUAUUUAAUAGUGUAUUUUAAAGGUAUAUAUGUGCUCAUGUGAACAUCAUAAAUAUUGCAUAAUUAUAAAUAGUAACGUGUCCACGUGGGCACAUAUAUACCUUUAAAAUACAAUAUUAAAUAGUGUAGGAGGGUAAAAGGUCCUCCAUAAGGUUUGGUAUCAUAACAACAAUUUCGGCCAAAGUUAAAGUAUUUUUCAGACCCUUUUCCCUACUAGAUAUGUAUAUGAGGGCAAGAUCAAUUGAUAUAUGUAUGUAUACCCUAUUGUUACAUGUAAGUCUACCAUUAUUGAUCGAGUCCACUCAAUGAAAUGAAAAGAAUUUUUAAAUAAUUUUUUAUUUCUACCCUUAAUAUUAAUUAACUGCAUAAAAUAAUAGUAGUCAAAUUUAAUAACGAUCAUAAAAAUAAUAUUAAACUUUGUGAUAAAUUCAUAAAAAUAUUAUUCUAUUUAUAAUAUUAAUGAACUUAAAGAAAAUUUUUAUAAAUAGUUAGGUUAAAAAAUAAAUUAUAUAUAAAAGAGGUAUUACAUAUAUGUGAUAUAACAAGGGUAAAAAGAAUAAUGCAUAGAGUAUAGGGGGAGUUUGAUGAUUGUUUAAAAUUGAGGAAAAGUUUGAUUUUUAAAGCAAAGUUGGAGGGUGAAUAUAUAUAUUUUUUUUCAAAUACUGGUGGACAAAAAUGUGUGUGUGGGGUGAAGUGGUGAUGGUGGGAUCAAAUGAAAAAUUGUGAAUACCGCGUUAUAAAAACGAACCAGCGUUGGGAAAUUGUUUUGGACAAAAUGAGUAUUAACAUUUCGCGACACAAAGCUGAGAAAAACUAAACACUUGAUUAGCAUAAUUACCUAGGAGAAAUUUCUAGGAAGCUGCAUUUCACCACUUGUUUAGAAAGUAGAAAUGAGAAAAUAAGUUCCACAAUGUAGUUUGACGAACUGAGUAAUACAAACCUUCGUCAAAAAAGCACCUAUAAUUUAACAAGCAUUUCACUUGCUAAAAAAAUUAGCAAAGAUUCAAUCGUUAAUCAUAAAGUAGCGUCGACAGAUUCAGAUAGAUUAUAGUAUAAUAAAAACAAUAUUAAUUGUUUCUGGUUCACGUUUUAACAUUUGAAAUUUGUAACUUUCAAAUAAAUUAUAGGUUUGCAUAUUAUACUUUUAACUAUAUAUAUUAUUAUUGUCGUCUUGAAGUUUGAAGGACCGAGAAUAUUAAUUCAAAUUGACUUAAGUCAUUUAUAAGGGAUGCAUGACAUUGUUGGUGAUGUCAUGCCUUAAGAAAAAAACGUUGAUGGAACAGCGCAGGGUGGUGCUAGGAAGCUCCCUUUCCUCCCCUCUCUCUAUAUUUUUACGAUCCUUUUCAAUGAUCAUACUAGCUAAUCACAACAAAGUGCUUUCUUAUUUUAUACUAGCUAGAUCUUAAAAAAGAAUUAGUAGUGUGCACGUACGGCGACAGUACUAGCUAGUAGUGAUCGAAGGUCAGAUAAGUAUAAUAUACAGCUAGCUAGGAUGAUGGAGGUGGAUCAUGAAGAUAAUGGAACAGACAUUGAAGCUCAGCGGAGUUCUCCGUUGUCAAUGAAUGGUACUGAAUUAAGUAAUUCUAGUUUGAUCAUCAUGAGGAGGUUGGCGUUCAUUUUCCUAUCUAUUUACAAGUUCAUUGAAGCUGGAGCAAGCAUAGCAUCAUCUCUUUCACCAGUGUCAUCGUCGUCCUCAACAUCCAACACAACCUUUUAUACUCCUCAUACCAGCUUGAAUCUUGAACAUGGAGUAUGUAUAUCAUCACAACCUUUCAAUUUCAUUUGUUUUAGGAGUAUUGACUCCAUAUUUUACAUUUUUAAGUUAGACUUGAUAAAUUAUAUAAUUUUAUAUUUAUAGUAUUAUUCUUUUUAUCAAACAUGCAUUUUAUGAAAUUAUGUACUUUUUGUUUUUAUGAUUAGUAUAAUUAAAAUAUACUAAAUUGAAAAAUACAAAUCAAUUAGUUUUUAUAAUAUUAGUCAAGAACAUAUGUUUAUUAAUUAAUAUAUUUUCAAAAGACAAUAUAUAUCUUAAAUAUUCAAUUUAAUAUCAUUUAUAAAGGGCAUUAUUAGUCUAAUAUAAAUUUUAAUUUUAAUUUUUAAAAUUCAAUAUAACCUUAUGAUUACACUUGUGCAAUAAAACAUUACACUUGUAAUUAGGGGUGUGCAUUCGGUUUUACAGUUUGGAUUUGUACUAUUUGGUUUGGAUUUUUCGGUUUUUGAUUUUGAAGAAGUGUAACCCAAUCCGAAUCAAAAUAAAUUUGGUUUGGUUUGGUAUUUUUCCUUUUGGUUUGAGUUUUUUCGGUUCGAUUAAUCGGUUAUGUCGAUAAUUAGAAACAUAACAAAGUUAUAUUUGUAAUUUGAAUAUAUAUAGUUUUUUUGGUUUCUUUUUUCUAAAUCUGAAACCAAACCAAAAAAACAAACAAAAUAAAUCAUAGAUUCAAAACCGAAUCAGAAAUCCAAAAAAUCAAUCCAAAUUAGAAUUCGAUUUGAUUUGGUUUGAUUUUUCUGUUUAAUUCAAAAUAGUGCAUACCCCUACUUGUAAUUACACUGUGGCAAACAAACAAAUCAGCGUAAUUACUAGAUUGUGUAAUUUACUAGGCUGGUAAUUACUACAAUAAUAAUUACCCCAAUUCCAAUCACUCAGUGGCUUUCCAAACAUACUAUUACAUAUUUCUUAACAUCUAGUAUUUAGAACAUUAUCUUUUUCCUAUUCCAACUAUAUCAUUGAUUUGUCCCUCUAAGUUUUUAUUGUUACAAGAGUUACAUUUAUGGCAUAGUCUUUAUCCAUAAUAUUAUAAUCGAUUAGAUAAUUAACUGUCACUUGUAAUUUAUAGAUGAAUACAGUCACUUUAUAACUCUUUCGUUUAAAAUUAAGUUAGGAGGUGAAAAUGUUGUGAAAAUAUUUUAAUUACUCUAUAUUUAACUUAUUAGAUAUUUAUAACAUUUUUAAUUAUGAUAGGGGUAAAAUGGUAUUUCAACUUUACUUUUGUGGCUUCGUGUUAAAUAAUAACAAAAGUCUCACAUUGAUGGUUAAUGAGAUUAGUGAUCUCUUUAUAAGCUUGGUCAAUCAUCCUCUCUUUAAUCUAGCUUUUAGGGUGUGAGUAAAGUCCAAGACCUAAUUUUCACACUUCUCACUCUUAUAGUAUGACUAGUAUUUGGGCACGUGCGGUGCGCGUAUAUCCCUUACCAGUGAGCAUAAGUAUUUUUCAAAAUUGCAUCAAUAUGAUAAAUAUAUUCAAAAAUCAAUGACAUCCAAUGUCUAAAAUGUCCAACUUUGAAGAUUCUUAAUUAGUACUAAAUUGAUUUUAAUUUGAAUUUAUGAGUUAAAAUUUGAUAUGAAUUUGUCAAAUUUUAGUAGUUUUUAUAUAGAUAUUAUGUUUUGAUUUAAAAAAUAAUUAAGUUAAUUAAAUCCAUAAAUUAUAGGCUUAAUAUGCUCAUAUCAUCAAUUAACCGUUGUCCUACCUCCAAAAUCAAUAUUACAUUUCUAAACGAAAUUCAUUUGAUGCGACUCAACGCAAUUAUAAUAUUUUUUGUAGUUAGAAAAGGAAUUCAACAUUUCAUUUAUAUUUUGUCGACUGUAUUGUUAACAUUGUAAUUGAGAAACAAAAAGACAUGUAUUGUUUUAUGUUGUCAAAAAAAAGAAGAAACAAAAAGACAUGAUAAAAAAUAAUAUUAUGACAUGUGAGUGAUAAGUAAUAUAAAUUCUGAAGGAGAAAGGGAGGGAUAAACUAUGGCUCAAAUAACUAAAAUAAUCAACGAAAAUUAAAACAAAGAAAGUUAAUAUAAUUUCGUGAGAAAAAUAACCAAAAGAUGAUAUUGUAUUCAUUCCUUUCUUUCUUAACAUGGGUUGUUUAUCCUCCCUCUUCUUUCUUUUUGGAUGAAAGCUCCAUUAAAAAAAUUAAAUUCAGACAAAGAAAGUGAAGUCAAAUAGGCAAUGAAUAUCAAAUCACUCAACAUGCCAUAGCUCAUAAAUACAUUUUUUACUUUUAUUGGGUUAUGACGAUUAAUAUCAAAAUUCAAUACUUAAUUAGCUUUACACACAAAUAAAUCACACGAAUCUGCAUAUGAAAAUUCAAUAAACUUGACCUACUAUUGACAAAAUAAAAAUAAAAAAGAAAAGAAAAACCAAACAAAGAAUAUUGUGCUAACAAAAAAAUUAUGUUAGAAGGAAAUGUCACUUACCCCAUUUGUAUCGACACAACUCAAAGUACAGUUCUAUGCGAUUGACACAGAAGCAUCUCAUCAAUUGAUUUUUUCUGCAACAAAAAAAAUCAUCUCAUACGCUAUUGACACAAAAUUAAAAAUUUUAUUUUAUAUCAGAGAUCAAAAUCUUAAACAUCAAUCAAACAACAUAAACUAUAUGAUAAGUAAGAAGUAAGAAACAAAAUAAAAAAUAACUUAAAAGAACAUACACAUGAAUGGAGCACCGGAAAGGACAAUGUUCCUAUGCUCUCUAUCAAACUCAUAAAACAAAAUGUAACGAACAAGACGAUAUACAUAUGUGAAAUGAAAAGACAAGGAUCAUAGUGGAGAAUGUAAAGAGACAAGAGUUUCUUUAGAAGAUUAUUAAUGAAUAAUUGUCUUUUAAUGUAUCUAUUUUAUGUAAGAAUAUAUAUUUUAAGUACAAUAUAAUAUGUGAUAUGAUUACUAUUUAAUAUUUUAUAACAUUUUUAUUUAAUAUAGGGGCAAAAUGGUAAUCCAACAUUGUAUUUGAUGCUUCCCACUUUUAAUAAUAUAUGAUAUGAUAUGAUAUGAUAAUAAUAUAUAUAUAUAUUUAUUUCAUAUGGAUAAAGCAAUUUCAGAAAUGAAACAAGUAUAUCUGCAUACUAGUCAUAGCUAUGAUGCUAUAAUAUUUUCAAUACAUGAAAUAUAUAUAUAUAUAUAUAUAUAUAUUGAUAAUAAUAAUUUGAGGGAUUAUAUAUGCUUUCUGUCUACUCAGAACUCUGAAGGUGGUGGAGAUGAUAGUACUGUACAAUCAAACAAUGAGAUUGAGUUUCAGCCUCAUGAUCAGAGUACUCAUCAGCAAUGCUUAAAAAUUAGUGAAGAGGUUGUGAAGGAGAAAAAGUUGGAUUGGAGUGAUACUCGUGAUGUUGACAAGGGAAUUCAUGUUGCAGACAAUUCUGGUCGUUACAUGCUGAUCUAUGCCCAGUUCAUGAUCCGACAACUGAUAUGUAAGGAACCAACUAUUUUGCUCCUUGCAAUUGCUGCAAUAUUGUCGUUUAUCUUUGGAAUCAAAGAAGAAGGUGUGCAGAAUGGUUGGUUUGAAGGAGCACUUCUGGUUGUGAUUAUAUUUGUGAUUGUUUCGUUUAAGCUAGCACGUAAUUGGUACAAAAGACACAUUUGGAAUAAGCAAAAUGAGAACAGAGCAAGGAAGGACCAGCCGUUUAUUUCUGAAACGGACUCCAGUUUUUGUGCCGACUUUGACAAGUUGAACAAUUACAUACAUAUUAGUGGGCUGUCCAUUGGCAUUUUGAUCACUGUGGUGCUGUUCAUUCGCUUUAAAUUGGGCUAUAAAGAUGAUGAGAACGGAUAUAGAUUGGAAACCAAGGAAGAACCAACUGAAAUUGCACGGAUAAUGAAUGCCGUGAAGAAGGUUUUGACAGAAUCAAAGGGAGCAGUGAGAGUUAUGAUAACUUCUCUUGGUAUCACACUGGUGGGGAUUACUGAAGGAGUACCAUUUCUUAUUUCAAUUGCAAGGGCAUACUGGUAUCCAAUUUUUGAUGUUAAGAUGGAACCAGUCAACACCAUCUGUAUAGAAAAAAUUAGAUGGUUGAAAGUUACCCAGUUUCUUCUUGACAAAAAAGAUGUUACCAAGAUACCACCACAUGUCUACAGUGUUCUCUCUGAUGGAAUUGGUGUGUCCCCUCUAACUUCUCAAACAGCCUACCACAGAGUAAAAGAAGCAAUACUCUGCUGGGCAGAAAAGAACACGGGUAUGCAGAGAGACACUUUGGAUAAGCAGUUCACCAUAGUGAAGAACAACGAUGAUGAGAUGAAUCCUUUUGAAGGACCUUGUAAAGUAGUCAUAGAGAAAAAUGGAGAUAAUGGGAAAGAGUACUAUUCAUAUUUCAAGGGUCCUACUGAUUCAAUAUUGCCAAUGUGUUCAAGUUACUAUGACUUGACGGGUCAAGUGCAGGAUUUGGAUGACGAAACAAAGAGUGACAUUGUUCAAACUAACAACAAGAACAUGAACGUAGUUGCAUUUGCCUUCAAACACAGUCAGGACGUUGUUGAACUUGAUGAAAAUGGCCUAACAUUCAUUGGUAUGUUUGUCUUAGAAUAUACUUUCAAUCUAGACAACAUGAGGCAAGGAAUUGCGAUUCUGAAAGAAGGCGGAGUGAAGAUGAUAUUUGCCUCAGAAGAAGAUGUUGAAGUGUUUCGUACCAUUGUUGAUGAAACAGGAUUGCUCAACUCACAUGAAGCUCUAGUAGUUAGGGGCGAAGAUGCUACAAAGGAAAAUGUUGAUAAAAUGUGCGUUAUGGGAAAUUCCUCUCCCGCAUGCAUGCUUCUUUUAAUAGAGCAAUUGAAGAAAAGAGGAGAAGUUGUGGCUGUGGUAGGAGAACAAUCAUCUGAAAGUAAUGUGGUUCUUGAAGCAGCUCAUUUUGGCCUGCCUGUGGUGACUAACUGGCCUGAAACUAUAACUUAUGUGAUUAACAGCAUCAAGGGAGGAAGAAUUGUUUGUGAGUAUAUGAGGCAGUUCAUCCAAGUUGAGAUAAUCUUUGCAAUCAGUAGCUUAUUAAUAAACUUCAUACUGGUUAUAUUAGACGGAGAUGGUCCGUUAACAGUCAUUCAGUUGGUAUGGGUUAACCUUCUUGUAAAAUUUAUUGGAGGGCCAGCUUUGCUAAUUACUCAGCAGGCAACAAGACAACUAAGGGAUGAGCUUUCUAUCAGACCAAGAAAACAGCCAAUUACCAAGGGCAUGUUGAGAAACAUACUUCUUCAAGUUUCUUAUCAGACUGGUAUUUUUGUAUUCCUUCAACACAGAGGAAGUGCAAUACUGGGGAUCACUCCAAAAGUUAACAGAUCGAUAGUCUUGAACGGGUUCGCUUUGUGCCAGCUUUUUAACAUAUUCAGUGCAAGGGAUUUGGAGCAGAGGAAUUAUUUCAAAGGUCUCGGUCAAAAUUACUUGUUUUGGGCAUUGUCUGGGCUCUAUCUUGUGUUGCAGUUUGGAUUCAUUGAAUUAGAGGCUUUCUUGUUUAGCAACACGGCACGACUGAAUUGGAAGCAAUGGGUUGAAUCUAUUUUAAUUGGAGCUGUUACAUGGUUGCUUGAUGUGAUAGUAAAAUGGGCAUCACAAUACAUAAAGAUAAGCAAAUAUUGUGACUGUGGAGUUCUUUACCCAGCCAGAAAUUGGUUACAGAAUUGGUUUGCCAGAAUCAACUGUUGUGACAGUGGACCAACAAGUACACCAAAUUCCACCCUUGUUUCCUUGGAUUCUUCAAGAUCCACUAGCGGAAAGGUACUGUAAAAAUUUAUCCAUACUGCCUAAUUACAGUACAGUUCAAACAAAAGUCUUUCCUAAAAUUUUGGAUUCAAGUUGUAGUUGUUGUUCUUUUGCAGGGCUGAAUAACAAAUAAAUAUUACACGUCGUGUUAAACCAACCAAGCAUAGAGCUAAUACUUUGAUGGAUUAAUCAUAUGUUUCAGUAGCUUCAAUUUUAUUUAUCCAUACUGCCUAAUUACAGUACAGUUCAAACAAAAGUCUUUCCUAAAAUUUUGGAUUCAAGUUGUAGUUGUUGUUCUUUUGCAGGGCUGAAUAACAAAUAAAUAUUACACGUCGUGUUAAACCAACCAAGCAUAGAGCUAAUACUUUGAUGGAUUAAUCAUAUGUUGCAGUAGCUUUAAUUUUUAGUACAUAGUUUCCUCUGUUUUCUAUAGAAGGUUAGAUAUAGUUGGAGCAACACUAAAGUUGUCUCGAUGUAACCGGUAGGUUAUGGGUUAGAGAAGUUAUGAAAUCAGCCUUUGAUGCUUGUAUCAGGUAGGCUGCCUACAUCACACCUUUCAAGGGUAUCAAACCUACGUCAAUGAGGGAUGAUUAGUGCACUAGGGUAUCCUUUUUAGUUAAUUUAUUUUAAUUAAUUUCAUCAAGUUUUUCGGUUCUUGUUCUUGCUCUUCUUCACUUUUAAUUAAAUUCAAGAAUGUAAACUUAUUACAUAGUACUACUCCCUCAAUCCCUUUUUAUAUGUCACAUUUUUACUUUGUACUUGCAUUGAGAAAUGAUAUAACUUUACCCUUCUACCCUUAUUUAAUGUUUUCUUAAGUUAACUUUAUAAUAAAUGAUGAAUACAUUUUCAAGAUUAAUUAACUACUGUAACAAGAGUAUAAUAGGCAAAAUAUAGUAAUUUAAGCAUAAAUUUUAUAAAAUGAUAAGUAUUAUGGUCCAGCUAUUUAUAGAAAGGAAUGUCAUAUAUAAAGAGACGAAGGGAGUAAUAUACAUAGAAAGCAAGAAUUUUAUGAAUUUCAAACACAGGGAAGUUUGCUCAAAAUCAUAAAGCAAACUAGUGAGUACACAUUCUACUAAUUAAUUGGCUUGUUCAAGAAGAUAAAUAUUUCCAAUAUCAUAUAGUAUAUGCAAAAAUAUAACUUAAUUACCUGGAUCUAGUUUUUCUCAAACUUGGUGAAAUGUAAUAGACAAAGCUCUUGUUGAGGAGAAACUGACAAGUCGGAAAUGCCAUUGGAAGAGACUUUUCUUCAGCGAAGUCAACUGCCUGUGGCCGUUUCUUUACUAUAUAUAAAAAAUAAAAAACAAACCUCACUAAUAUCCCAACAUGGAUUUUAUAAGAAUAUUUUUCUUUAAUUUUUGACACAUUUGUCUUUUAUCAAACGUGUCUUCAAUAAAUAUUCAUGUGUGAGUAGGUAAUUCGGAAAAUAUUACUUUAUUUAUUUCAAUUUAUGUUACAAAAAAACUUUUUUAGUUAGUUCUGAAAAUAAUGAUUGUACUUUUUUAUAGAUAUUUUGAAAUAAUUUAACUUGUAAAAAUCUUGUUUCAGAGUAUUGCAUAUCUAUUUGGACGGGUCAUGAUCUAAUUUAAUUUCUAUUUUAAUUUAUUUUAAAAUCUUCAAUUUCAAUUCAACUCGCUCAUUUAACAUCUUUACCUAGAAGCCUCAUAGGAAGUUUCAUUUCACCCAUGUUUGGAAAGUAGAAAUGAGAAAAUUAAGUAAUACAAAUAGUUUAAUGAAAGUUGUAAUAUAAUAGAAUUUUUUAUCAAAGUAAGCCAUUAUUUAAAUCAAUUCACUAUAAUAAUAUGUUUUUUUUGAAAUUUUACAAAACUAGAAUAAACAUAUUUGAUAGUAACGUUUUAGGUAUUAUUUUAUUAAAAAAAAAUCUAUGGCAAAAAGACAAAUUAUCUGACAGAUAAACAAACAUAAAAUGUUACUGUCAAAUACGUUUUAUUAAUUCGUUACUCACGAAUAUGUUUUAAGGCAAAAACGUUACUGACAGUAACGACUCUUUAAUAACACAAGAAUAGUUUAAGUCUCAAAAGCCAACUUGCUUUACAAAUAGAGUAAUUAGUAGCAAAAAAGAACUGAAUAAUAACACAAGAAUAACUUACUAUUUUUACAUGUAAAUUGCAGAAAGAAACGGAAAAAGAAUGAGAAAAAAGCGAAAAGACUAUAUGGGCAAAUACUUACUUGAAGUCAUUUAGACCUACAGGUUUUCAAAGGCAAGCUAAGGCUGAUGAUGGAAAAUAUAGAACUUGGUCAUGUUAAUCCUUAAUUUUGACUAGAUAAAAAUUAAAAAUCUAAUACGAAAGGAAGUCUUGGAAAGAGGAAUAAGUUCUUGCUAAAUACAAGAGAUAAUUUAAUAGUAAUAAGGUGUAUGGUGGCAGUAACCAAUGGAGUAAAAAUUGUCAAUACAGUCGGUAACCUUUUAACCUUAUAAGGUGUGCAUGAUUGGAUUCUAAAGAGUUGGUAACGUUUUAGCCUUAAAACGUGUGUACGAGUAACAAAUUAAUAUAACGUAUUUGACAGUAACGUUUUAUGCUUGGUUACUAUGUCAGACAAUUGUAUUUUUGCCAUUAAUAUUUUUUUAAUAAAAUAAUACCUAAAACGUUACUGCCAAAUACGUUUAUUUUGUAAAAUUUCAAAAAAAUAUCUUGUUUUGAUAAAUUAAUUUAAAUAAUGGCUUACUUUGAUAAAAAAUUCUAAUAAGCUUAUACACCAACAAGCCUUCCCACAGUAGCCUAUUUGAGGAAACAUUUUAUGGUGGAGGCAUAUCACAUUGUGACAUUUGUACGAGGAAGUUUUUUAAUUGAAAAAUGUGUCUCACUCUAUUACAACUUUUUUUCUCUUCUCACCUCUCCACCUUCAAUUUCUUCCAUUUUGCCCUCCCUCUAACAUAAAAUACUUUUUUUAAAAAAAUAAAUUAUUAACAUAUAUUUCAUUGAGUAAAUUACAAUAAUAUAAUGACAAAUCAAGUCACAGUGAAAACUGGUACUAAUGUCUUGAAAUGUAUGAAAAAUCAAGGCACAUAGUAAAAAAGUAGUACUACUAUGCUUAAAUUAAUAUUUUGUUCUUUUCUUCUUUUUUCUCUCUAACAUCACUUAUCCAAUCCCACUCUCUUGUGUAUUUUGUUUCUCUUUCUUUUUUAGACUCAAUUUUCAUUUGUCAAAAACCAAAUAGAGAUAAAUUGAUUAAUACUAGGCAAUUCAGAUUUAAAUUCAAACAACUAAUAAAAUGUCUAAAAAAGAAUUAAUCAAAACAUACGCUCUUGACCUCAUAUAAAUUUGACUAUAUCAUUUGUAG